AUGCAGUGGAAUUUGUGGUAUGGUCACUAUCGUUAUCAGUAUAGUUAUCAUGCCAUCUACCAGCACCAGCAAAGCGCGCUCUACAUCCAUUGCCGGCAUGGCUAUCUUACCAGAAUGUCCUUGUCAAAUCACACAUACAGAGUAAUUAAACUACCAGGUGCCAGUGAAUUCAUGGGAUAUCCCAAUAACCACCAUCUCGGGAGAUCGUUGAGAGGGGUGUAUUAUGCAAUACUUGAUGACCGGAGUCGACUUCAGGUUUGGUAUCUCAGUGAAUCAUGCGGUCGAAUAGAAUGGAUAUUAAAACAUGAUACAUGUCUUAAGACCUUUGAACAUGAUGACUAUGCUCAACAAGUGGGCAGACAAUGGAUCUUACAAGAUGUUAACUACCGUAAGUGGUGCUCUGAAGAUCCCGAGAAUCACAAAGCGACCGUGGAAGAGAAAUAUGAUUGGAACUUUGAUGAGGAUAACGUUAUUGACACUGAAAACGUCGUUGAAGAGGCUGAAGACGUCGAUGGAGAUUAUUUCCUCCUUGGGUUUCAUCCUUACAAGGAGGUUGUCUUCUUGAUUUCAUCUGCAAUAACAACCAGAGGACUGGCCUAUGACUGGAAUAUCUCAAAAUUUCAGGACUUGGGCAGUUCAAGGCCAUGGAUGGGAGCAGUUUACGAUGAACCACCAUAUGGAAAGACAGACACAUCUUUUUUCCCAUACACGCCUUGCUGGAUGGGCGAGUUUCCUGGAAAUGAAUUAGAAUCUCUAUUUGAAGACGAGAAGCUAUAUAGGGAAAAGUUGGAACAAGAAGCUCAACUUAAGGAGGAAUCCAACUGUACCUACAUGGGCGAGUACGAGCUGCGCAAGCACUGUGGGCGCGCCAAGAGGGUCAAGGACUUUGCUGCCAAGGUUCGUCGCAGACGCCACAUCGCGGCUCGGUAG
Molecule: ribosomal RNA, 930 nt
Filed under: Triticum aestivum (bread wheat)
Lineage: Eukaryota; Viridiplantae; Streptophyta; Magnoliopsida; Poales; Poaceae
Description: partial small subunit ribosomal RNA
Source: RNAcentral